CCUACGGGAGGCAGCAGUGAGGGAUAUUGGUCAAUGGGGGAAACCCUGAACCAGCAACGCCGCGUGAGGGAAGACGGUUUUCGGAUCGUAAACCUCUGUCCUCUGUGAAGAUGAUGACGGUAGCAGAGGAGGAAGCUCUGGCUAACUACGUGCCAGCAGCCGCGGUAAUACGUAGGCAGCAAGCGUUGUCCGGAUUUACUGGGUGUAAAGGGUGCGUAGGCGGCUUUGCAAGACAGAAGUGAAAUCCACGGGCUUAACCCAUGAACUGCUUUUGAAACUGGAGAGCUGGAGUGGGGUAGAGGUAGGCGGAAUUCCCGGUGGAGGAGUGAAAUGCGUAGAGAUCGGGAGGAACACCAGUGGCGAAGGCGACCAGCUGGGCUAUAACUGACGCUGAGGCGCGAAAGCGUGGGUAGCAAACAGGAUUAGAUACCCGAGUAGUC
This 440-nucleotide ribosomal RNA is filed under the name uncultured bacterium. RNAcentral's name for it is "partial 16S ribosomal RNA". It matches the Rfam family "Bacterial small subunit ribosomal RNA", at positions 338 to 795 of the family's 1533-position model. The record is from RNAcentral.